This 73-nucleotide transfer RNA is filed under the name Bos taurus (domestic cattle). It matches the Rfam family "tRNA". From Rfam's summary of the family: Transfer RNA (tRNA) molecules are approximately 80 nucleotides in length. Their secondary structure includes four short double-helical elements and three loops (D, anti-codon, and T loops). RNAcentral also lists the same sequence under 1 other name. Lineage: Eukaryota; Metazoa; Chordata; Mammalia; Artiodactyla; Bovidae. The record is from Rfam by way of RNAcentral.
UCCCUGGUGGUCCAGUGGCUAAGACUCUGAGCUCCCAGUGUAGGGGGCCCAGGUUCAAUCCCUGGUCAGGGAA